GUGGAUCUGGAUUGAAAACCAGGAACGACCGACGACGACCAGCGACCGCGGACCAGCCAGAGCGUGCGGGGUAAUAACGUCAGGGGACUGGAGAACGCCGAUCACGAGGUUCAUCAUGGCAGGCGAAGCGCCGACAGACCCAAUGGAGGCCAGGAAGCUAAGGAACAGGGCGGCCUGGUUUAUAGUGGCCCAGGACAAGCUGUACCGACGGUCGGCAGCAGAGGAGGCCCCCCUGCGACUAUGCGUCCCACGUGAGGAGGGGAAGGCCAUCGCACGAAGCCUACACGAGGGGGCAAGCGGAGCGCACCAAGGCGGC
This 316-nucleotide long non-coding RNA is filed under the name Zostera marina. RNAcentral's name for it is "long non-coding RNA (ZMAR_LNC001566)". Lineage: Eukaryota; Viridiplantae; Streptophyta; Magnoliopsida; Alismatales; Zosteraceae. The record is from RNAcentral.